RNAcentral lists this unclassified non-coding RNA (388 nucleotides) under uncultured fungus. RNAcentral describes it as "partial contains 5.8S ribosomal RNA and internal transcribed spacer 2". The stretch from base 1 to 133 matches the Rfam family "5.8S ribosomal RNA", at positions 22 to 154 of the family's 154-position model. The record is from RNAcentral. Lineage: Eukaryota; Fungi.
UGGCUCACGCAUCGAUGAAGAACGCAGCGAAAUGCGAUAAGUAAUGUGAAUUGCAGAUUUCAGUGAAUCAUCGAAUCUUUGAACGCACCUUGCACCCUUUGGUAUUCCGAAGGGUACGCCUGUUUGAGCGUCAUUAAAUCAUCAACUUCAAAUAUCUUUUGAUAUCUUGGAGCUUGGAUCUGGGAGCUUUGCGGGCUGCAUUAUGCGGUCGGCUCUCCUCAAAUGCAUUAGCUUGGGGCUUCUUGCCUUUCGCCUGUUGGUGUGAUAAUUAUCAUCGCCGGCUGGUAUCGGCUGUAUAGGCUCUGCUUCCAAUUGUCUUCGGACAGUCUCUGUUGAGGCUACAAACUCUGACAAUUGUGACCUCAAAUCAGGUGGGAUUACCCGCUGA